GACAAAUGUCAAGAUUCUAAAUAAUACCUCAGACAGCCCGGCUUCAAAGAAAGAAAAAGCUUUUGAAAUAUCUAAAAUCAGUCUGUGAUGGGGCUUUUCGCUCAGCAAAGCUAAAACACAGCGUUUCCUUGAUUGGAUCUGCACUGUGGGGAUGCCCUGAUCCGCAGUCAAGGGAAUAGUUAAAGAUACAAAGAAAUCUAGACACAAAAUACUGCUACUUUCACAGAAAAUAUCCUGCAGAGAAAUGGCAUUGAUUAUUCCUGGGGACAUUUUAAGAAGGCUUAAUUAUGGGUUUUGGAACAUCUUUCUUUUUCAUUUUCUGUCGUACAUGAAUAGAAGUGAAAGAUGCUUUCACACAGCAAACCCAAUGUGAGAAACAGAAAGGACUGAAUUGAAUAAAUCUGGUUCAGUUAA
Canis lupus familiaris (dog) is the source of this 414-nucleotide long non-coding RNA. RefSeq lists it as uncharacterized. The transcript has 2 exons. The record is from RefSeq and is a predicted model, not a curated record. Lineage: Eukaryota; Metazoa; Chordata; Mammalia; Carnivora; Canidae.